GAUGAAGAACGUAGCGAAAUGCGAUAAGUAAUGUGAAUUGCAGAAUUCAGUGAAUCAUCGAAUCUUUGAACGCACAUUGCGCCCCCUGGUAUUCCGGGGGGCAUGCCUGUUCGAGCGUCAUUUCACCACUCAAGCCUCGCUUGGUAUUGGGCAACGCGGUCCGCCGCGUGCCUCAAAUCGACCGGCUGGGUCUUCUGUCCCCUAAGCGUUGUGGAAACUAUUCGCUAAAGGGUGUUCGAGAGGCUACGCCGUAAAACAACCCCAUUUCUAAGGUUGACCUCGGAUCAGGUAGGGAUACCCGCUGAACUUAAGCAUAUCAAUAAGCGGAGGA
RNAcentral lists this unclassified non-coding RNA (331 nucleotides) under soil metagenome. RNAcentral describes it as "partial contains 5.8S ribosomal RNA, internal transcribed spacer 2, and large subunit ribosomal RNA". The stretch from base 1 to 120 matches the Rfam family "5.8S ribosomal RNA", at positions 35 to 154 of the family's 154-position model. The record is from RNAcentral.